RNAcentral lists this ribosomal RNA (781 nucleotides) under Nitor reisi. Its description in RNAcentral is "partial large subunit ribosomal RNA". The stretch from base 430 to 566 matches the Rfam family "Archaeal large subunit ribosomal RNA", at positions 1892 to 2081 of the family's 2987-position model. The record is from RNAcentral. Lineage: Eukaryota; Metazoa; Mollusca; Gastropoda; Stylommatophora; Helicarionidae.
AAUUAUUGAAUUAAACUGCAAAGAAAAAUAACCAUAUAGAUUUCAAUACCUUUUGCAUAAUGGUUAAACAAUAAUAUUUAUAAAUAUAUGUUCCCGAAGUUAGAAGAUCUAAUUUUAUUAUUUAAUUAGAAUAUAAUGUUUCAAAAUUAUAUAUAAGUACAAUUAGGAGUGAAAGGCUUAACAAUUCUAAAGAUAACUGGAAUAAUUUUAAAUGUAUUUAGUACAUAAUAAGUUUGAAUAAAAAAAUGUUAAGGUUUUUUUACUAAGAAUAAAACUUAUUAUAAUGAAUUAAUCUUCUUAUUAUUUUAUUAUAUAAAAAUUUAUGGUUAAAUAAUCUAAAUAAAAUUAUAUUUUAAUUACUGAAAAAUUAAUUAUGUUUAAAUUAGUAUAAAAUUUUUGUUUUAAUAAGGAACUCGGCAAAAUGUUCAUCUGUUUAUCAAAAACAUAGUCUUAUGAUAUAAGAUGAAACCUGCCCAUUGAUAAUAUUUAACGGCCGCAGUACCUUGACUGUGCUAAGGUAGCAUAAUAAAUUGACUUUUAAUUGGGGCCUAGAAUGAAAGGAUAGACAGUUUCUGUCUCUAAAGAUUAAUUAUAAGUUACUUAAAAGGUGAAAAUUCCUUUAUAAUAAAAUAGACGAGAAGACCCUAGGAGUUUACAAUUUUGUUGGGGCGACAAUGUAGCAUUACCUACAAAUUUAUAAAUGUAACAAUAUUUUUAAUUAAAAGAAAACUACCCUAGGGAUAACAGCAUAAUUUAUAAAGUUUGUGACCUCGAUGUUGGA